GGUUCUGUGAGGAAAACAUAAUAAAGAUAUCAGAGCUUUGGUGAUAAUUAUACUUAAAUGUCGGAUCAGUUCUCUUUAAGACGCACUGAUUAUUUUCCUGUGCUCUUAGCUAAACAUAUUAGCGGUCCUUUCCCUCUAAACCUUGAGUUCCUCCAACUAUGAGUUAUCUCACUUUUUCCAAGGGUUGGAUAAUUCUGUUUUGAGUAUUCUUACCAGAAUUUUGUAUUAUAGCCAAGUAGUUUUUGUAAGCUAUGUCCUAAAAUAGGCCUGAAAGAGGGAAAGGUAACUUUGUAGGCUGAUUUAACAUUCUAUUUAAUAAUGUAUUUUCAAGAAAAUUUUAAUGCAUUAAACAAUAGAGAAACAUACAUUAAACGUCAUGGAAUACGCAAGUACUAUUUUUUUUCUCCAGUCUCACCCCCACAUUUUCUGUUUUCCUAGUGGUAGCCAUUACAACCACUCAGUCAACAAGUGUUUGUUGAAGACUACUAAAAGAAUAAGAAAUAGAGCUUGUAAGUAGAGCACUGACUGUUUAUGUUAAUGCCAGUAGGUCAGCGCUGGGAACCAACACCCUGUAAUUUUCAUGAUCAAACCUCCUCCAAUGUAUAGAACUAUGAAAGGGUAUUUCUCUCCUUAUCUGCCAUUAUGCUCUUUACUCCAGACUGAACUUAAUCUCAGCACGCGUAUCUCCGUUUCCAUCCUAGCGGAUUGAAUUACUGGAGGAUCUUCUCGGAAGAUUCGUUCAUUUCUUUGUUCAACAAAUAAUUGUCUACUAAUUCCCAGGCAUUUGUGGGCAUCUGUUCUCUGUGCUGCACUAAGGACAUGGGGGAGAAGCCACCGGCCCUGUUCUCUAGGAGCUCGUAGUCUAAUGGGAGGAAUAAAUAAGCGGAAACUUUGAACGAGGGGUCCUAGUGGAAUUGGCGUUGAGACUGACAAGAAUGGGGCAGAUUGUGCCAGGUAAGGGGCGAGGAAAGCCUGAAGAGUCCCGGUCCCAGAGAGCAGUAUGUGCAGAGCACAAGUGAGAACAUGACACACGCGGGAACUGGAAUUAACUGUGACACCGCUGAAUAUAGAGUGCAGGGAAGCAGGUGCUGAAAGGUGGAGAUGAAGGGCCUUAUUUGACAGGCUCAGGAGUCUGGUGGCAGAUUGGAAGGCAGUAGGGAGUGACUGAAAGACAAGCCCGAGUGUGAUCAGAUGGGAUUAAGCGCAUCACAGUCCCCCUGACAGCCCUGUGGGGAGUGGGCAGAGGGAGAUGAGACAAGAGCAAAGUCAGGACCCCCGUGGUCCCAGACCUCCCUGUAGAGGCGACAACACUGUGGGACAGGGCACAGGAACUGGCUGCAGUGAAUUAAGGGCCUUGGGGGGAGGGGGAAGGGGGAGAGACAGAGGGACUUGAUGGUGGUAAGCACCACUUCUGAGAGGAUUAUUUAUAAAGACAACGCCAGCAUUGUCGUCAUAAAUAAACACCUUACUGAACUCAUGUUAUAAUUUGGUAAUUUAAAGAACGAGCAAUUUUACACCGGCAGAGCUAUGAGUGUUUAAAUCAUUAGGUGAAAUUAGAAAACGAUGCCUAUCAAUUUCAUAAAAUUCCAUAAUGUUCUGAGAUGUCUACAGUCUUUCCCCAUAGUUCAUGCUCUGACCUUGUUUUUGUUUCUGUCAACCACCCGUUCUAAGUUACGCACACCAGCCAGUCCUCAAGCUUGUGUUUCAUCACUGCCCAGCACAUAGCACUGGCAGCAUUUGCCUUCUCUGUGCUGAUGUACACGGACUAUCCUGAUGGAACAGCCCAUCUUUAGUAUUCUCAGUAUUAGCGGUUUUUCAUUACAGUCCAGUUGACUAUUGAUGCAACCAUUAUUUAUAAAUGGAAAAACAAAACAAAAAGAUGACCACCUCCCUAUUGAUGUUUAGGCUCAAUGAAUAUAUGUCUUCUGCCAUUAAAGGUGCUAGGAGUCCAGAUAUGGAAUAAGUGAUGAAAUUGUAUCUACAUUUAUGUUUUUU
Neofelis nebulosa (Clouded leopard) is the source of this 1995-nucleotide long non-coding RNA. RefSeq lists it as uncharacterized. The record is from RefSeq and is a predicted model, not a curated record. Lineage: Eukaryota; Metazoa; Chordata; Mammalia; Carnivora; Felidae. The transcript is spliced from 2 exons.